ACAUUUUUGGUUUGUCUAUUAUGCCCCUAUGUGACAACCAUUAUUACAAAAAAAACUAUUCUACGUACUCAUUUUUAAUCACAUUUUUAUAAUAAAACAUUCUAGAUAUAAAUCCAUUUUUUUCGUCAAUUACUCGUAAGUUUGUUUUAUUAUUAUUUUAGGACAUAAUUGUAAUUUACAACAUUCUUGGUUUGUCUAUUAUGCUCUUAUUUGACAACUAUUUUUUCAAAACUUUUUAUUUUACAUAUUCAUUUUCAAUCAUGAAUUCACAUAAUGAAACACUUUACAUGUAAAUUCAAAAUAUUUUUCUAUUUUUAAGCUACAUAUUUUUCAAAAUUCACUAUUCAAAAUGUUGUUUUUCCCAAAUAAAUUUCGUACAUAUUUUUCAAAAUUCACUAUUCGAAACGUUGCUUUUCCCAAAUAAAUUUCAUCAAAAAGAGGCAAUAUAACAUUUUUAUUUAUUUAGGGCUAAUUAUUCAUUACAUGCUUGAGUAAGGGACUAAUGAUAGUCAAUUGUUAAUGAUAAUAUGAGCUAUAUACUUGUGUAGAGAGUUCAAAAUAUUUAACUUAUAUUUCGAUUGAGAGUAAGUUAUUCUAGAUCUACUUAAAGAGGAUAGAAAUCUAAGCCGAAGGGUCAAUUAUUCUACCAAAUAGGGGUAUAUAGUUUGUCUUAAUUGUGACGAUUGUCCAUUCGAGAGUAAUGACACUGACUCAAUUGUGUGUGUAUCGGAUGAACCAAUUGAAGUGUUGAUUAAUUUUAUACAGUACAGUGCUAGAAGAAUUAAUUACACUUAACUAUUUUAUGAGUUAUCUAAAUUAGUUACAGGAUACUGAUUGCUAUCUGUACACUUGAUAUUUGAUGUCAAUGAAUGAGAUCAAUUUAUUAUGAUUAUCCCACCGUUAUGUUGAGAGCUUAUAGAAUCGAAGUAGUGGUCCAUAUCAGCAUUUAGAGCCAAGAAUUCGAGAGGUAAAUUAGUUCACUUAAGUAUUUUGUUCUAGAGAAUAGUGUAAAGCUGAGUUGAGUGAAUAAUUAACAUAAUAGUAUUUAUGUUGUUUUUAUAGGGAAACCCUGAUUUUGUACGUUGCUUUUAUAUCUUAAACCAUUUGUACUCGGUGUACACUUCCCUCAUAUGAGGGGAGUGGGCCCCAGGGCAUUUAAUGCGUAGGCCCCAACCCUUGUGUGAGAGGCAUGCUCGGUGUACAUAUAGCUUGACUCUUGCUUUUAUAGUGAUUUUAUAACACAAGCAAAAAAUGCAUGCAAAGAGAAUUUACAAUUGAGCUUUUAAAGAAAAUAACAUCAAACGAUUCAUGGAUAAUUCCUGUGUCAUUAAUUUUUGCUUGUCUUAGCUCUUGUUUGAGGCCCCCUUUUUUCUCCAAAAAAUUCAUUUUUUAAUACUCAUUUUAAUCACAUAUUUUUUAUUAAAAUAAAUUUACACGUAAAUCGAUUUUUUCUUAUUUUUUAACAAUACAUUGACCAAAAAUUACUAUUCAAAAUACAUUUUUUCCCCUGAAUCAAGGACUUAAUUUAUAUGCGUUCCAUCAUGCCUCGUAUCAAUUUUCCGCGGCACGUGACGUGCUUCAUUUUAGCAUUAUUUCGCUAACCAGUCAUCUUUUUUGUAAGUCAAUAGGCAGAUAUAAAUGAAGUGACCCAAUACCAAUCGAAACUAAAAGUGUUUAUAAUAUGAAUACUCACUAAAAAUUAGGUGAUCACUAAUAUUUUUAUCUCUGUAAGAGACUGAAAUUUGGACGAUGCUUCACUUACAAGUGGGCAUUUUACAGGGCUUGGCCAGGGCACACACAAAGACAGGGCCCACACAAUUUUUUUUAAUGUAGGUCAAUCCCACCGACCUGCCAGAUACAGUGAGGGGGCCUGUAAACCCCUUAUAGAAGUAAUAGAACAGUGCCCUAUACACAAGACAUUGUUGCUGAAAUUUUGGAUCAAAUUCAAAUAUGAUCAAUUGCAAAGUGAAUAAAGACACUGGAAUAGACUUCAGUACGUGCAAUGCUACUCAUUUUGAUCAUAGCCUUUUGAAACUCAAAAUCAAAUCAAACUUCAAGCAACCAUGUUUCCCGCAUGAUUAUCCACAAUUCGAGGUGAUGAAGAAUCUCCCCAAAGCCUCUGAUCUGAUUCCAGAAUUUCAUUUCCAUCCCUUACAUUCUUGAAGAAGCUUAUGUUGAAUUUGGACUGGCUGUCUUCGUCUAGAGCUACCCUUUUUGAGCAACCUCCGCCUUUAGGAGAAGUAGAUCGUAACUGUGCCAAGUAUACUUGGUUAAUGCUGUGUUGAAUUCCUAGUACUUGUGGUGGAAAAGUUUUAUAAACCGACGAUAUUGGAAGAAACAACAGUUCAGUCAGCCAACAAUAUGUGCCCAUGCAACUUUUGGUCUUUGAAUUGAAGAUGAUUUUCAGUUUAGUGCAAGAUUUGCACCAAAAUGAACCCACAAGCUCGACUCAGCCGACGAGCUCGUGAUUUUUUUUUUUUUUUUUUUUUAAAUUUUCACAACUUUGUCACUUUAUUGAAGAGCCCACAGGCUGAGCAAGCUCGGCUUGGGCUCGUAUGUAAAAAUACGAGCCCGAGCUGCUGCGAGACUCAUUUUCGUGAGCCGAGCGGCCGGGUCUGCCAUCCCUCACUGAAAUUAAGUUUAAGCAAAAAUAAUUUAUAAAAAAUAAUCGACGUGUCCAUCUUUCUAGGACUGAAAAAAAAAAGAUAAUGACCAAUGAUUUGGCUGUUUCAUAUGAUCAAACGUCCAUUUGAGCAAGAAUUUCAAUUUCUUUGACACAUUACAUUACCAUACAUCUAACCCAAAAUAAGUAUGCUAGUUACGUGAUACUGUACAAGUUUAAAAAAACUUUUUUGAGCAUCUUUGAGUAAUUAAACAGGCCUAAAAUUAUGCGAAUAACGGGCAAUAAAUAUGCAAAACAACCUUGAGUUCAAAGUAAAGGCCUGCCAUUUAUGGGGACUCAUCAGUUACACCUACUCUGUCACCAUGUUCCAAAUCCAUCCUCGUCUUAUCUAUCAGCAUCUGCAAGGAAUAACUUUGAUUAAUUGUUUAAUACAGCACAACGUCAAAAUAAGUUCACAUAAAUUAAGCCAAAUGCAGAAAAUGACAUUUUCGUAUUCUAUUUCCGCUCUAUGAGCGCAAUCACAGUUCUUAUCAUCAUCAAAAUGUGUGGAAUCUCCUGGAGAGCUGUUUUAUAUCGUAUACAAUAAGAAUUCAGGUGUUCAUAAAAACUUUAACUCAAGUGUCGGCAAAUUAUGAAAUCAUAUAUCAUUGUCAAGGCAACAUUUCUCUCAAGCUUAAGACUGGUAGCUUUUAUUUCGUUGAAAAAGAAAUGUGUCAGCUCCUUCACUUGCCAUCUAAUGACCAACAACAGUAUGGUAACAACAAUUAGACAACACGUGUAAAUUAUUUUAUUAAGAGAAUGUAUGGUUAAAAAUAAGUUUGGAUAAAAAUGAGUUUUGAAAUAAUGUUGUUUUUCAAAAGAAGAUAGCUAUAUUCCUAUGGGAUCGUUUAGGCCAUGAAAGAUGCUAUUUUAAUUUUAACAGAGUUAUCCAUUUGUACCAAAAUCAAUACGAUGAUCAAUUAGAACCUUUUUAGAUGAAAUUUAACAAAGAAAUAAGCUCUUCAUGAGGGCUGAUUUCUAUUUUAAGCUAGAUGCUAUUUUGGAAAAAAUGCUAGCAUGGAAGAGAGCAUGACUGCAGUAUGUAUACCUAUUGCAGUAGGCAUAUCAUGAACAGCCCGCAAUGAAAUUUUCUUGUGAUCUUUUAGUAAAAAUGUUUAUGACAUAACUUUUCAUCAAGUACAAUAUUUAUAUAUAUUUGUAACCUUUAACUGCAUAGUUUUAUGCAAAAUAGUUUGGAUUGAUAAAUAGAAAGCCAUAUCUUUAUCCCAAAAAUAACAACUCUUAUUUAAAGGGAACUUACAGAAGCUGACAUUGAGAAAUUUCAUAUUUGGACUAAAUUAGAUAAGCCCAUGUUCGGUUAUGAUUAAAAAUCUGAUUUUAAUUAAAAUAGAAGUCAAAUAAUCAAUAUUAACCACAUCUUUCAUAUGUCCCACAACUUUUCAACCACAUAUUUCAAAAACUUCUAUCACAAUCUACUAAAAAAAUCUAAUUUGAAUCCCCACCAAACAUCCUCUAAAAGUUCAUCUUCAGAUAGGUCUUUAUUUUCAUCUGUAAAAUAACUAAGAAACUGAUUGGUGAGGAAAGACAAAUCAAGAGAGAUCAUGCAUUAACAGUACAACAAAUAUUACAGAAGGUUUGACUCAAUUGAUGCAAAAUUGACCAAAUAAAGAUGUGGAUAGGCUAACCUGGAAUUCCUGUUCAGAGGUUUUGAGCCUGUCAUCAUAAUCCUUCACUUGCAGAUAACAUUUAUGCAACUGCACAAAUUUCAUAGAACAUGAUAACCAUCUUAAAGAAACUUCGAGUUAUACACAUAUACUCCGAAACAGCAAACCGAAUAUUCAUUACAAUUACCUUGGUUAAUUGUAACCGAUGAUAUAAUGUGGUCUUUUUUGCAGCGAGCAGUGAAUCCUCCAAUUUCUAAAGUCACCAAACCAUUCUAAUCAGGAAAGGCAAAUGUAAAGAGAAAUCUGUUUGUGAGCACAAAAAGCCAAGAAAUGGAGUACUUCCUAACUAUAAAACCACCAAUUGUAAUGAAUCACAACCUGGGAUUUUUCUCGUAACUUAGAAAUAAAUUCUUCCUUCUCUGCUGCCACCUCUUCCAUUCGAGAUAUCUGGAUCAAUAAAUUAAAUGUUAGAUCCUAGAGUUGUCACCUGAGCUUUAAUCUAAGUAUUAUGAGAACAAAAGACAGCUCACUGACAUGAGGUCUACAGCUAUUUUAGCAUGUAGUCUAGAUUUCCAAUAACUAGAAUGAAAAAAUUUCAAGAAUACGGAAAUCAAAUUAUUCAUACUAUAUGACAAAUGCUCAGGCCAUUGUAUCCCUGCUACACUUUCGAGUAACGAGAGAAUGUACACUAGUGUAAGGGCAUGUCAUGUGUAUGGGCGUGAAUAUUUAGUUAAAUCUUAAGUUGAAAGUAUUGAUUAUUUUGAGAUGCACUUAAGGAUGACAGAAGCUUAAAAUAUGCUUUUGAAAUUCGGGUUCAAGCAACUGAUAUCAAUUUUUGCAGUAAAGGUAUGGUAAUUUUUCUUCAAAAGGUCCAACUGAAUUUUGGCAACAUCCAAAUGUUAAGAAACAGUAGUAGUAAUUUAAAUUUGUGAAUAUACAGUUAACCUUUAAUCUUAAUUUAUAGGAAAAAGUGAUAAUUUAUAAUGGAAACUGUUGAAGAUUCCGGAAUAUUAAGGAUUGGGUGAUUUAUUUGUUUCCAUAUAUAUAUAUAUAUAUUCUUUCUUCAGUUGUAGAUUUAACAUAUAUGUAAUCUUUGCUAUGUAUUUUAUCCCUAUAAAAGGGGCUGUACACAAGGGGAAUAACAUUGAAUUGCUCUCUCAUUAUUUUGGUGUUUAACUUCUACCUCUCGGGGCUGUACACGAGGGGAAUAACAUUGAAUUGCUCUCUCAUUAUUUUGGUCUUUAUCUUCUACCUCUCUCCCCGGUUUCAUGGUAUCAGAGCCGUGGGUUACUUAGGUAGGUGGAAUGGAAAAGACUACCAUGACAGGUGCAUGCCGAGGAGGAUUCGAGGAACUCCACCACAAUCUCCGAACCUUUCUCUACAAGUGCACCCAACACUUCAAAUUAUCAACCCUGAACUCAUGGUAAUUCAUGGUCGACGGCGUCUUGGGUACGUCAUUGGAACUACAAAAAGACCAUAUGAAGAUGAUCCAACCUAUCCUACUUGGGAUGCACACAACUCCAUGGUAAUGGCAUGGAUAGUUAAUUCAAUGGAGGAAGGUAUUAGGGAGUCUUACCUUAUAUUACUCGACUGCAAAGGAGCUCUGGGAUGCACUUACGAUGGCUUUUUCAGACCUGGAGAACUCUGCUCAAUUGUUUGAGCUUCGAAACAAGGCCAAAAAUCUGCACCAAGGGGAACUCGAUGUCACACAGUAUUAUAAUGCACUGCAACGGCUCUGGCGAGUAAUCGAUACGUUUGUCCAGAUUGAUUGGGAUAUACCAAAAGAUGCCGAAAAGUAUAAGAAGCAGGUUGAAAAGGAGAGAAUCUUUGAUUUCUUGGCUGGAUUAGUCCCCAAAUUGGACGAAGUUAGAGGCAGAUUGCUGGGCAUGAAGCCAACUCCGAUAAUUGAUGAAUUUUUUGCAGAAGUACGCAAGGAGGCUAGCCGACGACAUGUCAUGCUUGGAGACUCUAAGCAAUCUUCACUGGAGAAUUCGACCUUGCAGCUAGCUGACAAGAGGCAUCACAAGGGACCAAAAAGAGCAAUUCUUUGUGCGAACAUUUCAAGAGGUCGAACCACUCAAUUGACCGGUGCUGGGUCUUACACGGCAGGCCACCAAAGAGAAAGCAAGGGUUCAGACUCACCGAGAAGAUGUCCAAAUGUGUAACCCUUCUGGUCUCUAGAGUUUUGUCGAAUCACCGUCGGUUGCAACACAGCCAGAUAACGUCUCUCUUCCUUACGCGAGAACAACUAGAGCAAUUAUAUGAAAACCUUACCCCUUAGUUUGACUGCUGAGAGAGGUAAUUUUAUAAUGGCAUUAACCAGCACAGGUAAUGUAAAUCAAUGGGUUAUCGACUUAGUUGCCACAAAUCACAUGACGGGGUAUAAAAAAUUAUUCUUAUUCUCCAUGCUCAAGACAUUUUAAAGUAAAAAUAGCUGAUGGGUCACUCUCACUGGUGGCUGGAAUUGGAACUAUUAGACUCACCCCAAAUAUCGAAUUAAAAUAUGUGUUGCAUAUCCCAAAUUUAUCUUGCAAUCUCCUUUCUAUUAGCAAGUUAAUAAAAGAUUUGCAUUGUAAAGUCAACUUUACUGAGUCGUUGUGUAUCUUUCAAGACCUAACUUCGAGGAAGAGGAUUGGCAAUGCUAAAGAACAUGAGGGAUUAUACUACUUUCUGGAAGACACUUCUUGGAAUAAACAAGUUGCGAGUCUAUCCCUAGAGAACAACAAAUAAUGUUGUGGCAUCAUCGUUUAGGUCACCCUAAUUUUUCAUAUCCUAAAUAUUUAUUUCCAUCAUUGUUUCGUAAUAAGAUAUGUUUCAGUAUGAUAUUUGCCAAUUAGCUAAACAUGCCCGCUCUUCAUUUCAAUUUGUUGAUUAUAAAUCCUCAUCACCUUUCACUUUAAUUCAUAGUGAUUUGUGGGCCCAUCUAGGGUUACGAGUAUUACGGGUAAAUAUUGGUUUAUAACUUUUACAGAUGAUCAUACGAGGGUAUGUUAGGUAUACCUCUUAAAAGAUAAGUCUGAAACUGCACAAACCUUUAAAAACUUUUAUUCUAUGAAACAAACCCAAUUUGAUGCAAAGAUAAAAGUCCUUCCAAUUGAUAACUGCGAGAAUACUUCAAUCAAGUUUUGGGAAAUUCCUCACUGAGAAAGGUAUCUUACACCAAAGCUCUAGUGUUAUUACCUCCCAAUAGAAUGGAAUUGCAGAAAAGAAAAAUCGCCACCUCCUCGAAACUGCUAGAGCCCUUAUGUUUACUAGUAGGUUCCUAAAUCCUUUUGUUGAGAUGCAGUUCUCAUUGCAUGUUACCUUAUAAACAGAAUGCCUACUAGAAUGCAUAAUUUCACCCCUCCAUUAAUAGCUCCGUUGAAUGCUUACCCACAAAUUCGAUCUCUAUUCUCCAUACCCUAAAAGGUGUUUGGUUUUACUGCCUUUACUCAUGUCCAUGAUCAUGAAAAUACCAAGUUAAACCCUAAAGCUUGAAAAUGUGUGUUCUUGGGGUGGUACUCAUUCCAAAAAAGUUACAAGUGUUACUCCCCAGUUACUCGUAAAUAUUACACGUAUAUGGAUGUUAUGUUAUUUGACUCUAUUGUUACUCCCCAGUUACUCGUAAAUAUUACACGUCUAUGGAUGUUACGUUUUUUGAGUAUCUUCCAUAUUUUUCCCAAAAUUUCCCUCAAGGGAAGGAACAUAACGUUGAUGGAAACUUUUGGGAGUCGAUACCACACAUACUAGAGGUUCCUAUAUCACCCAUCAAAGAAUCAAAACAUCCCAUACCAAACGAAACUUCUUCCACUAAUCACUCCACUUUUCGAUGAUUCACAACGUGUUGAUUCUCUUGUUCAGCCAAGUUUAACGAUAGGGGGAGACAAAGAACUUGCAACUACACCUGAGCUACGUGUUUAUUCCAAGAGGAAAAAUCCCGGAAAUGUAGAACACCUCACAGUUCAACCUCAAAACCAAGAAUCUGAUCCGAAUUCAGGUAAUUCCUCUACCCUGCAAAAUGACUCUACUAAUGAUUUAGAUAUUCCUAUUGCACUCAGAAAGGGAGUUAGAUUGUGUACAAAACACCCUAUCUCAAACUUCAUAGGGUACAGUCAUCUCUCUAAUUCAGUUCAAGCUCUGGCUACAAACCUGUCACUCAUUAAAGUACCAACUACUAUACAUGAAGCCUUGUCGAUUCCAGAAUGAAGAAAGGCAGUUGAGGAAGAGAUGGGAGCCUCUAAUAAGAAUAGGACAUGGCAAAUUGUGGGAAGCCUAAGAAUAAGUCAACUGUGGGGUGCAAAUGGGCACUCUCUGUUAAGUACAAGUCAGAUGGUUCGGUGGAGCGCUAUAAAGCUAGAUUAGUGGCAAGGGAAUAUUCUCAAACAUAUGGAGUAGACUAUCAGGAAACUUUUGCUUCGGUUGCGAAAUUAAACACAGUAAGAGUUCUCCUGACACUAGCAACAAACCUAGAUUGGAAACUCCAACAACUAGAUGAAAAAAAUGCUUUCCUGAAUGGUGACUUGGAAGAAGAAGUGUAUAUGGAACUCCCUCCUGGGUUUGAUGCAACUAUGAUCCAGGGAAAGGUCUGUAAACUGAACAAAUCCCUAUAUGGGCUAAAGCAAUCCCUACGAGCCUGGUUUGAACAGUUCAUGAAGGCUGUGUGUUAGCAUGGAUAUAAGCAAGCUCAAUCUGAUCAUACUCCGUUCUACAGGAACUCAGUCGAAAAAUAUCUAUUCUAAUUUUUAUGUGGAUGAUAUAGUUUCGACAAACAAUAACUAUGAAGAAAUGGAGAGGCUAAAGAAAGCUCUUUCUACUGAGUUCGAAAUAAAAGACUUAGGCCCCUUACAGUACUUUCUUUGCCUAGAGGUUGCAAGAAAUAGGAGUGGAAUUUCCAUUUCACAAAGAAAAUAUGUCUUUGAUCUCUUAAAGGAAACUGGUAUGUUAGGGAGUAAACCAGCAGAUGUCUCUAUAAACCCCAAUCAUAAACUAGGGGACGGCUUAGGAAGUACAUCGGUUGUAAAGGAAGAUAUCAGCGCCUUGUAGGAAAGCUAAUUUACCUGUCACACACCAGGCCUAACAUUGCUUUUGCAGUUAGCGUUGUAAGCUAAUUCAUGCAUGCUCCAUUUAAUGAGCAUAUGGAGGCUGUCUACCAAAUCUUGAGGUAUCUUAAAGUGACUCUGGGACUUGGACUCUUCAGAAAAAUUUCGAAAGAUCUAUUGAAACAUUCACAGAUGCUGAUUGGGCAGGGUCAGUAAUGGACAGAUCUACAAUCGGUUAUUGUACUUUCGUAUGGGGAAAUCUAGUCACCUAGAAAAGUAAGAAACAACCAGUUGUAGCAAGAAGAAAUGCUGAAACCGAAUUUAGGACUUUGGCUUAUGGAAUAUGUGAAAUAAUGUGGUUAAAGUUAUUGUUGGAGGAACUUGGUAUUCAGCAAAAUGAACAUAUGAAAGUUUAUUGUAAUAACAAGGCAGCUAUUGCAAUGUCACACAAUCCUGUUCAUCAUGACAAGACGAAACAUGUUGAGGUAGAUGACAUUUUAUCAAAGAAAAGAUAGAAAAUGGGACAAUAUGCAUGGUGUAUUUGCUUUCUUCUGAACAAGUUGCAGACUUAUUGACCAAGGGGUUGUUUAAACCCAUGUUUGAAAAAAUAGAGGACAAGUUGGAAUUGUUCAACUUAUAUCGCCCACCUUGAGGCGGAGUGUUGAAGAUUCUGAAUAUUAAGGAUUGGGUGAUUUAUUUGUUUCCAUAUGUAUUAGUCUAUCCUAGGCAAUAUAUAUAUUCUUUCCUUAGUUGUAGAUUUAACAUAUAUGUAAUCUUUGGUAUGUAUUUUAUCCCUAUAAAAGGGGCUGUACACGAGGGGAAUAACAUCAAAUUGCAAUCUCGUUAUUUUGGCCUUUAUCUUCUACCUCUCUCCCGGGUUUUCAUAAACUAGACUUGAUUUACAGUUGAACCACAAUGAUAUAUGCAAAACAAUUGAUGCAUACCCACAUCCUUGUCCAAGUGGUGUGUGUUUCUGACAUGCUUACUACAAUGCAUUUAGGAGACUAUACCAUAACAAGGAUAUAACCAAAGCCCUCAACUCAUUUCCACGACAGUUAGUUUUAAACUAAAUAGUUUGUAUUUUCGCAAUAAAAAGCAUUGCUCCUUGUCUGGUGCAAGGUUAUAAACAGAAAAUAGACCUUGUUAUGAAGUUCUUCAAGCUCUUCACUUGCACUUGCUAGUUUAUUUUCCACCUGAAUAUACACAUACAAAAACAGUGACAUGAGUACAAAAACACAAUUCACAAAGGAUGUCACAAAGUGAGACAGACAAAUAUAUAUACACACACACACACGCAUGUAUAUGGGAACAUUAUAUUGAGGUUGAACCUGAUUGUGAUCAUCACCAUCUGAUUCCAAAGAAAACUCUCUAUGCCCAUGACCAUCAAUGCUAGAUCUGCUUAGAAUUAUAUUGUCAGAAUUACAUAGGCAGCAGUUAGCGCUCAUACAAAUAGAAAAUAAAUAAUGUAAUGAGAACAGAGCUCCAAUUAAGUAGUAGUAUAUUAAUGGAUCUCAGAUGCAACUAUGUGGACAAUGGAACAAUUCUGCUGCUAGUUACGAGCAGGCAGAUAUACAUAGAAAUCCAAAACAGUUGAUUCAAUCACUCUAUCAAGAUUGCCCCAGAAAACAAAGACGAAAGAAAGAAAAUGAAUACAUCUACAAACAAAAGCAAGAAAUUAGACACUGAAACACUUCUGACUGAAUAUUAUAUCACUUCAUAAGAACUAUGAACAGGUUCAAGUAAUCAAAACAUAAAUAAACAAAUAUAUGAAACCAAUUUUCAUCAUUAUCAUCAACAACAAGCCAAGGCGAAGAAUAUUACCCAUUCAGCAAGUGGAGUUGUUCAUAAUUAUCAUUAUCUUCAAUAUUGUGAUGACUGUUAUUCCUCCUUUCCUCAAUACUAUGAUCCCUGUCUCUUUCCCUGUCCUGAUCAUUCUUCCUUUCAAGUUCCUGCUCAUCUGCCAUUUGUCUAUUGCGUUCAUGAAAUCUAUCUCCAUCAACAUAUCGAUCCCUAGCCCGAUCAUGACCAUGUACACGAUCAUAGCCUCUCUCCCUAUCUUGGUCAGAGUCUUGAGACCUUUCUCUACGUCCAUCCCGAUAACGAUACGUAUCAUAACUUUGGUCUCUUUCUAGAUAUCUAACCCUAUCUCGGUCAAUACCCCUAUCAGAAUCACGUCGAACACUCUCACGAUUGAAGUUUGAUCUGCCGCCUCUGGUCUUCACUUCAUUUACUCUCACAACUCGUCCAUCAAUAGUCUAAUUAAGGGCUUCAAUAUGUUAAAUACAUAGAAGAAGACAGCUUGAAAAUGUAGAUGAGGAAAUGGGGGAAGAAAUAUUUGCAGAUAAUUAAAGAGACAAAGUGUUGUCUAAUCAGUUAGCUUCAGAGAAUUGUCUAAUCAGUUAGCUUCAGAGAAAUACCCUGCCAUCCAUUUCCUUGAUCGCAUGCAUUGCAGAUCGAGGAUUUCUAAAAGUGACAAAGCCAUAGCAUUUCCCCCCAAUUGAACGGUCAUUAAUUAUCUGCAAAAUCAAACAUGAAAACCAUAAUCAUUAAUCAGUCUUCAUAAGACAAUAAUAAAUGCAGGGAAGAAUAGUCAGAGGCAAAGAACCAAAAUUUGAAAACACAUCGCACACAUCACCAAAUAAAGAUAAUCUUUCAAUCAAAGAGAAACAUAGCCAUGCUCUUACUAGAAGUAACUGAAACUCAACUUAGAACUUCAAAACAGUAUAAACUAACUCCUAGAAGUGCCAAACAAAUGCUAAGGAAAUACACAAUAAUAAUGAUAAUCACCCCUUGAGUGCCAAAGGGGGAGUUUGUGAAUAUGAUUCAUGCAUUAAUAGAACACUGCUUUCUGCAAUAUAUGGAAAAUUCAUCAAUACUACUACUCCAAUGACAAAAACAUUAUCAGUAACUAUGCAGUGACAAUUGAUUUUGCUACUACUUCUUCGACUGACUUGUUACUCUUGUUGAUGUAGCUUCACUUUGUUUUCUAUUCAAAGCUUUGCCAACAGAGUUAGGGUUCAAGAUUGCAGAUCUAGUAUCUCUUCUAGAUCUUUAUAUACUAAAGUAUUUAGCAAAAGAAAUUAAAUGAAUAAAUUAGUUAGCCUAUGUAAACACCUGAACAAUGUUGAUAUUAUCAUCUUCAUCUAAUUUCGGAAAAAGAGAAAGAGAGAAGCCUAUAAAGAUGAUUCUUAUUAUCAAAACCAUAAUUGUGAUAGUAAUAAAAUAAAAACAACACUGAUGGAACAACUAAAUUAAAUGAACAGGCUAAUGUAGUUAUUCACACCUCUUGAAAAAAGUACCAUGGGUGGCAUUAUAAAAUUUCCUUAAAAGCUAUCUUGUUUAAGCAAUAUCAUGAGAUCAUAUCUCUCUCUUUCUCUCUAAGCUUUGCCAACAGAGUUAGGGUUCAAGAUUGCAGAUCUAGUAUCUCUUCUAGAUCUUUAUAUACUAAAGUAUUUAGCAAAAGAAAUUAAAUGAAUAAAUUAGUUAGCCUAUGUAAACACCUGAACAAUGUUGAUAUUAUCAUCUUCAUCUAAUUUCGGAAAAAGAGAAAGAGAGAAGCCUAUAAAGAUGAUUCUUAUUAUCAAAACCAUAAUUGUGAUAGUAAUAAAAUAAAAACAACACUGAUGGAACAACUAAAUUAAAUGAACAGGCUAAUGUAGUUAUUCACACCUCUUGAAAAAAGUACCAUGGGUGGCAUUAUAAAAUUUCCUUAAAAGCUAUCUUGUUUGAGCAAUAUCAUGAGAUCCUCUCUCUCUCUCUCUCUCUCUCUCUCUCUCUCUCAACAUCUUAGAAUUUUUUUUCCAAGAAUUAAAGAUAGCUAUCAAUAUGUAUCUUCUCAGAUAAUAAAUCUGCAACAGAAACAUCAAAAUAAACAUGACAUUAUCAUGGUAUACGCAAUAGAAAAAUCAAUAUGUGGAACCCAUAGUUUAGGUCGGUAUGUGCUGCUAAAAGAACAGAGAAUUAAGCUAAGGGCAUAGGGUCCAUUUCUUUUGAUUCUGAUAAACUAAUCAGUAGAAUAAUAAUAGUCCAUGAAUCAAGAGCCAAUAAGAACCCUCUCCGUCCCCCCCUAUUUUUCUUCUCCGCAAUUCUCUUUCACACAAAUAAAGUGACAGGCCAAGAACCAGUGGUGCAACACUUGAAUUACAUGAAAAGUUGAUGGCAAGUAGCUGAUGAAUGAUUUUACAAUAAAUCAUUUGAUACUAAACACAAGUCAGGAAUCAGAAAAAAUGUUGUUAAUGAAGGAUGUAUUUCAUUUUUCUCUAAAGAAAGCCGACUUGAAUUAAAUAUUAAAUAAUGCCCCUAAGAAUGGUAGGGAUCAUUAUUGUAUGGAUCUAAGCAUUUCCUAAAAUUAACAAUGAUGACAAUAUUGACAAAUAACAACAAUGAAUGAAUAUGAGCCCUUCAGCAUAUGAUGCUCCUCACCCACAGAACCACUUCAUUUAGAAGCUUAAGUUAGCAUAGGAAAACAUUUACUAAUUUAGAUUUAGUUUUUAACAUGUCACAUCACAUGCAAGCCAAAUUACCUUUGAUCAAAGACCUAACACAUGCAUAAUUUUCAUUAAUUGUUCCCUGUAAGGCCUGAAUCCUGUACUUUACUCAUCUUGAUACCAUAUUAAACCAUCAUCUCGUCUGAUUCCUAAAGUAUCAAAAAAGUGACACAUAUAUAAUUAAUUUUAUUGUUCAACACACCCUUUCGCUUGCAACCAGAUUCAUUUCCCAUCAUUGCUCUUUCAGCUUCUUGAACUUUCGCCCCACAGAUCUACAUAUUUCUCCAAACUGGUGUUUUUGUUGUAUGUCCAACCCCAAAAACUCAAGUCUAGUAUAAUUUAACAUAUACUAAACCAAGAAGACGUAAGACCAUCUUCAAUCUUCAGCCAUCAAAAUCUUUAUUUUUUUUUAAAGGAAUAUGACAAUCACCUUAAUGAACAGAGACUAAAAUUUACUCAAGUGCGAAAAGAGUAUUAACUAGGUAGUUUAGAAAGAAAAACAAAUUCAGAAUCAAAAGAUGAUUUCAGCCAAAUAAAGGACUACCUUUUAAACUGUUCAGUUUAGUAAUCACACAAUAAGCAUAGAUCCAAGCUGUUCUCUAGUCUCUCGGAACGUAUUUGAAAUUAACGAAAAAAAAAAUUGAGAAAUGCGAACAAGAAAAACUCCAAUCUAGUAGUCUCAAUAAGCAAAUAUAAACUACAGAUAUAUACAAGGAGAAGCACUGGUAGACCUUGACGGCAACGACGGCGCCGUAUAUAUCGAAGAUCCUGCGGAGGCUUUCUUCGGUGACGUCGUACGGAAGCCCGCCGACGUAGACGGAGGUGUUAUCGUUUAUCGUCAUUUCUUCCACUAGCGAAUCUUCUACAAAGCUAGAUUAGAUUAUUAUCGCCAGGGAUUGAAAAGCUUCCGUACGGUUAUAACUUAUAAGUUGAUAAAGCAUAAUUUAUUUUUGAAAAGCGUUUUUUACGAUUAUAAGUUGGUUUAGCAUCGUUUUCUUUUGACAUGUUCGGUAUUAUUCACAAUUUUUGUCUACUUUUUUUAUAAAAGCAUUUGGUACCUAACCUAAGUAUAUAAUUUAUAAAAUUUUACUUAACGUAUACUAAGAAUAAAAUAGUAGUCUCUCGUUUGGUGUGAUUUGAAAAUUGACAAAAAGUUAAACUAAAGUUAACAAAUAAUUUUAAUUAUAGAAUUCAUAAUUUUUAUUAACUUUUUAAUCACAUAUUUUAUUUUAAAAUUUACUAAAGUCUAAUUUUAUUUUUUUUAUUUACACCAAACAUGGGCUAAGUUUAAAAUCAGUAUUUGUUAUUAAAGAAAAUUACAAAUUUUAAAUUACAUUUUUUUUUUAAUGAAACUCUCAAGUUAACAAUUCCAUUUUUUUUUUUUUUUUUUUGGGGAAACGAGGAGGAAUUUCAUCUUAUUAAUACAUUGGAAAAGGAAUACAAUUCACAUAAAUACAUGAAUAAAGAAAAAGCAAAGGUUGCAAGCAUGGGUGUUAAAGUUUUAGCUCCAAAUUCAAAAAAUAUCACAAUAAUAUAUGAUUGCUGAUAUUAUGAAGAUUUUGCUAUUAAUAUAGGAUAUUGUGCAAUUAUUUUUUGGUAGAGUUUCUUUUUUUGUAAUAUAUAUUUUUUUUUAUAUCCAGGUAUUCCAGUUUACACUAAACUAAAUCCUGGACCCCCAAAACCCUUGCCCCUAGAACCUUGGAUGGGGUAAAUCGCGGGUUAUGCCUCAACUGGAUCACAGGUUUCUCCCACCGCCUGUACACUUCUGCGCACAAGAGAUCCUCCUCCAAAGUGAUUACUCCAUAUCAAAUAAAUCUGGCCGCAGGUUCCCACCAGGAUUCGAACCUUCACCCUGCCGCUGAAAGCAAGACAAAUGUUGAUUGAUCAACUAGUUGAGCUGUACCCCGGGGGCUUCUUUUUUUGUAAUAUUUGUCAAUAUAGUAGGAAUUAUAUAAGGUUUCUUUGUAAUAUUCAAUUUUUCUUGUAAAAGAGCUCUUUGAAAGCCAUUUUGAUACCACUUUCACUAAAAGCUUUUUUAAUUCAAAAAAUUAUACAAAUAUUUUGCAAAGCAACUUCAUAAAUUCAUAAGUAGCUUUUGACUUUUUAAAGAUUUAAUCAAAUGAGUCCUUAAUCUAUCUAUAUUCUUUCAGGGAAAGCAUAAGCGGUGGCUGGUGGAAGUUAAUAUUUAGGGCUAGUGGUGGGAAUGUGGUUGGUUUUAGGUGUUGAUCUGAAAUAUGGGUAUGAUGGGAGGGGGAAAACAGGAUGAUAGCUAGUAGAAGUUGAAAUUUCGGGCCGCGAUGGACAUGUUGUAGCAAUGGUGGCAGCAGUCACCAGUGGUGGGACGGGAGUAGUAGCGAUAAUGAUAGGCUUGGGUAAGAUGGAGGCAUCAAAAUAUUUUGAUUAUUUUGUUUUCCAUUUUGUCCAUUGAGGGUAUAAUAGUCAUUUAACACAAGUUUUGACUUUUUAACGUUCAUCACGAAAGGACCACACUUGCACUAGUUUCAAAUGUUGAGGACGUAGGGUACCACAAAUUAAAGGUUCGUAACCUAGUUGUCUAGAUUCAAAGUUCGGUAUUCCAAAUACAAUUUACCCUUCUGUUUAUCACAAACAAUGUUAGGAAUCUGCGGCAAUCCAGUUCUAACCACAUGUAAUAUUGUUUGUUGGAAAUACUUGACAUCAGUAUGGUCUAUUUCUCUAGGACACCCUAGUGGUUAAGAUAGUUUAUAUGGUAAAACCAUGCUUAUUCGAGUAGGGUUUAAGUUAUUGUAUCUCAUGUAUCAUAACUAUGCCCCCGUUUGGCCCCCAUUACGUGAAAAAUUAAUGGGUGGAAUAGUAUUUUUUUUGAAAAAUGAGUGGUUAAAAAAGAAGGAAAAAUUUUCGAUUUACGCGUAAUAUUAUUUUAUGGAAGAUUGUGUGAUUGAAAAUAGGAAAGAGAAAAAUGAAAUGUAAUGUAAUGUAAAUUAAUGGGGCUCAAACAGGUGCUAUAUAUAGAUAUUGGAAAAAAAUGCCUACAGGAAAUUACUGCCUCUUGAUCACAAUCACACUAUCCUUGAUAGACAGAAGUCCGAUGGUGGUGCAAUAUUUGUCAUUGUAGGGCAGUUCAAUGAAAGAUGUGUUCCACGGGUCACUUUUUAGAAGAAUCGAUUAGUAUGAACAAGAUCCCACUUAUAAGUGUCGUGCGGGCUUGAUCUCAUCACAAUUUCGCUACUUGUACAGAAACUGUACAUAUUUGUCGAUGGAAAAUGAGAUGACAGUUUUUUGAUCCUUUAUUUGAAUGAAUGAUUGAGGGCCAAAAAUUGCCGCCUCAUUUCUGUCAACAAAUAUGUACAAAAAUUCUGUACAUGUAGCAAUUUUUGUCUCAUCAAACAUCUACCCAUAUAUAUCUUAGUUAUUUGCGUGCACUUAUUGCAACGACUACUGCAGUCAAGCCAAUCAAACCUACCUCCCUCCCUCCGGGCAGUAGAAUGGAAGUUAAAGAAGAUAACAUUCAAUGCCUUUAUGACAUCAAAUUUUACACACAACUAUAGAAAUUGUAUUUUAAGCAUCUUACAUCUAUGUCAGGAGAAAUUACAUGCAUAGAAAAUGCACGAUUAGAGAAACUAAAAACAGAUCAAAAUUCAAAUUAUACGGGGGGCAAUGACAGGUAUAGACCUCCAUAUAACUAGACUAUUUAGCAACUUGUUCAACGACAGGUGAUUUAUUCCAAGCUUCCUCUAAUCCACCAAGCUGCAAUGGUGGCAACGAAAACAUGCUAACAGUUGAGCUUCCACUACGAAUCUCUUUCAAAGCUCGUAAAGCAGAUAUAGUACUUUUCAUAUACAGGCUCUCCAUGAACUCGAUCUCAGCAAGUUCUUUUGGGCCUUUUAGCAGAACUUCAUUGUUGGUUGUGGAACUGGUUGAGGGUUCGUCUCCAUCAGCUGCCUCAGUUUCAGGUGGUGUUUUGUUCACUGGAAACAGGCGGUCGAGCAUUGUCUCACACUCUUUCACAAGCUUGUACAGUAAGUCAGUUGUAAAAAAAGGCUGUUGCACAACCUUCUGUAUGAAUGGCAGGCGAAGCAGAGCACCAGUUCUUUUGUCAUACUUCUUCAAUAUUUUGGCCAGUCCUGUUAAGCACAAAGUGAUAAAGACUAAAUCUUAAUAUUGUUUCAUGUGGACCAUAGUCUAAGACAUUGUAAGUAAAAAUUUAUAAAUAAUAAUUUUAAGGGCAUUAUAUGAACCAACUUCUCCAGCAAAAGGCUGGUAUAAGCCUUAUUUAUUAUCGACAGACUUCUCUAUAACACAUCGAGAUGUAAAUGAUUAGGACUGUGUUGGCUAUGAACAAAUUCUAUUAAUCUUACUUUUAUCCAUCUAGAUUACAGUAUUGAUGCCACAAGGGAUAAUUCAAUGAAUUUUUCAGACAAGACGUAUCUAAAACAGAGGAAAGCAUGAUAUGGAAGUUUUGAUUUGUUGAUAUUCUAACUCAAUAAUUAUAUAGCAGGAAUUCAACAGUCAAGAAAUUCAUAGUUCUAAAGCUGUCUAAUGUGAAGGCAAAAAACAGAAGUAAUUAGAUUACAGAGUUAACUCGAAAAAUGUAAAAGUUUUUUUUACCUGUAUAAUUAAGAGCACUGUAAUUCUCCAACAAAACCAUCUCCCCAUGAAAGUCGACAAUUUCUUUCCAUAUUUUGAUCGUCUCAUCGUUCUGGUCCUUGGCCUUAGCCACCCGAUCUUGCAAUUCCUUUACACCAAAUAAUGUAAAAAUACGUAAGUUCACUACCAGAACCAAAUAUUCACUCGCAAUCUAUAGUAAAGCAUCUAAUUGCAAAAUAAUAAGAACAGAAUAUAGUAUUCAACACUAAGUGGAAUAUACAAUUUCUUAAAUCUGUUGUCCAAUUGAGUCCAGUCACCAUACGAAACAUGCCUUAAAUGCUAAAAUAACAAUGACAAUUACAAGUAUCCUGCUAAACAAAUAGUGGAAAUUUAUAUUGAACUAUGCCCACAUCAUUGUUGUCGAGAUGUAGGUAAUUCAGCCAAAACAAAAAAAGAAAGUGAAAUGUCAAUAAAAUGAAUUGAGUUUUAUCAUAUCUACUGUUGAAUAAACCAUAAAAAUCAGGUAAAAGAAAAUGGAUGGUCAUUCUAUUUUGCCCUGUGUUCACAUAUAUAUUUUUUAACCCUUAAACUUAGAGCAUCUCCAAGAAACUCUCUAAAUACAAAAUACUCUUUAUUUUAAAGAGUAAAUUAAGAGUGGACAAAAUGUCUCAACAAAACUAGACUAAAUCAAAAUCGAACCCAACCAAGCGGUUUGGUUCAAUUCUACAAAAAGUUUAAUGAUUUUGAUUCUUCGAACCGAGAACCAUUUUGUUUUGGCUUUAAUUUGAUUAUUGGAGACAGCCCAUUAAUUGGAGAUAGCUCAUUAAUUGGUUCUGUGUCAUUGGAGAUAUUUCAUUAAUUGUGUACACGCUAAUUUUGUAUUCAUUGAAUUUUUUUUUCUUUCACCCCUUUUCAAUUUACACAGCGCUACAGCAUGUCAACUCCCUAUUUCAUCACGUUAGUAGAGGAGAAUUGUCAAUCACUUAAAAUGCCUUUAAACUAUCUUUUCACCUUGAUUAUUUGAUGAAUUAUUUGGGUUCUUCACAUAGAGGAAAAUUCAAUAAGCAUUCAUGGAUAUAAAUGGUUAAAGGUUUCCUGUAAAAGUGGAAUGUAAACAUUUUGCAUAAUUCAUCAUUUAUUGUGGGGGUAUGUCGUCAAAACAGCUACAAUUAAUUUAGGGCUUUUGUGGAGAUAGGUGAGUACCAUUUUUUAUUUUUAUUUUUUUUGAUAGGUAAUCAUAAUUUUAUUAAUUAAAAGAGAUUACACGGGAUGUGUACAAUCACUUUAAACAAGAGAGAAACGUCAUGAAAUUAGGCAACCCUUCUAUUGUUGUUAUUUCAUGUUGGGUUUUAUUGCUUUAGGAUAUUUUCAAUGCUUUAUGGUGCAAGCUUGAAAAUUUAAGUAGUUAAUUCUAACCAAAUGGUUCGGCUCCAAUUUGAUUCCAUAUCUUAAAAAAGUCAUUUGAUUCCAUUAUCAAAAGAAUCAUUAAUUCAUGAUUCGGUUCGGUUCGGUUAUCUUGGAACUAGAACUAAAUGGAACCAUGUACAUCCCUAAAGUUAAUGCAUAAAAAUAAGCUCUAAGAGAUUCCAUUUUAAUUUUUAAAAUAGAAGUGGUUUGGAUUUCCAAAAUUAGAGAGCCAAACUUACUCCAUUCUCAAUGUACAAUGAUUGCUUUAAUAAGUCACAAAAUUCAAUACUCUAGUUCUUAAACUAUUCAAAACACAUUUAAAUUGAUUGCCUAUUGAUAAAUAAAAAAUUAUAUUAAAUAAAAUAUAAUGAGAAACCAAUAAAUAUUUCUUGGAAAAAAUAAAAAUGAAGAGCCAAAAUAGAAAGCAUUGUUGAAGUGUAUAAAAAUUUCAACUCUCUAAAUUUAAAGAUGCUCUCAACAAUGCAUGAGAUGCUUAUAAAGAGUCUCUCGGAUAUGCUCUUAGUAGCAUUAGACAUAUGGCUAUUUGGCAGGCCUAAAUAUCUUUGCAAGUUCUGAUAUUACACAUUAAUGAGAAGGAAAGUAAUAAUUUCUUUAAGAUCACAAAAAUCGGAUCCAGGAUCCGAGAAAGAAUUCCUAAUUAAACUGUUGUCAAAACCUUUAAAUGCAGUAAAUUGCCCAAGUUGCAAAAUUCUUGAAAGGGACAGAGCGAUCCAACUCCAAAAGAUUAGUAAUAAACGCGUAGAAUUCGUCGAAAAUCAAAUCAAUUCAAAUGAAUACGAAUUAUUCCAUCAAAAAUGUAGCACCGCAUAAUUAAAGGUAAAAAAGAAUAUUCGUAUAGCAUAAUUACCUUUACUCUGAUGAUGUAUUCUUCCUCCUUCUCAACAAAGAAAGCGUUAAAUUUCUCAAGUUCAUCCUCCAAUAACUUGACGAAAUUUGCCUCCGCCUCCGUCAUAACCACCCUUUCGCCACCACCAUCGGCGGCCAAUUCGUCGCCCACUUUCUGCCUCUUCUUGGCACUACCCUCUUCCCCAGCCGAUGACGACGGCCCCUUCGCCUCUAUCAGCUUGAGCUUCUUUUUGAGCUCCUUGUAUGACAAAAACUUGUCCCUCCAUUCAGGUAAAGUCUCAUCAAUUUGAUUGCUCAAACUCUUUCCAAACUUCAUACCGACUGAAAUCCAAAGAAACGGAAAAAUUAAAAUUAUGGGGUUGAUUGAAAAACACAAAAUUCAACAAAUUGAAAUUAAGGGUUUGGUCAGAAUUACGAAUUUGAUUGAAAAACAGAAAAUGAAUGGAUGGAGAUGAAAGUGUGUAGAGGAAAUGACGGAAAAGAAAGGCGAGGAGUGAUAUAACGGUAACUGAAGAGAGAGAAUAUGCGAGGGGUAGAGUGGGAAUAUUCUUCGUUAAAGAGGAUAUCUCUUGGUUUUAUUCUCUUCAGGACAGAGACUUAGAUUAAUUUUUUAUUCCUCUCUUUUCUUAAUUAUUAUAGUUGACACUUGGCAAUGAGGUUCAUUUUGGCUUGGACUGGGACUGGACUUAAAUAAUUAUUUCUCGAGAUAUUUAUGUCCGGACCGGACCUAGUGAACCGGAGUUAGAAGUUAGGCUGGCUAAAAAUAUAUAAAUAUGGAUUUUUUAGUAGUAAUUAUGAAAAUUGAUUUUUUGAUCGUUAGAAAGAAUAUUGAAUCAUAUUUGUGAGUGAAUAAAUAAAAAAUAACGGCUGAAAUAAUGAAAUAACGAUAAAAAAAAAUGAAUUUUUUGAGGUGAAAAAUUACUACCAAAUUUAAAUAUUGAUUUUUAUAAUUCCAUAUGAUAUUUAAUUAUUUGAAUCAACAAGAUCAAUAUACUUCCUAUUUCUAUAUCAAUCAUGAAAUUAUUUUUUUAUUAGACACCUAACUUGUUUCUAAUUUUAAGAAAAAAACAUAUGGCUAGUAUUUUUUUUUUGUAUGAUAUUUAAUUAUUUGAUUCAACGGGAUUAACAUACUUCUUAUUUCUAUAUCAAUCAUGAAAUAUUUUUCUAUUAGACACCUUUUUUUUUCAUUUUAUGAAAAAAAAACAUAUGGCUAUAAUAUAAAACACCGUCAUAUUCAACGGGAUUAACAUACUUCUUAUUUCUAUAUCAAUCAUGAAAUAUUUUUCUAUUAGACACCUUUUUUUUUUCAUUUUACGAAAAAAAAAACAUAUGGCUAUAAUAAAAAACACCGUCAUUUUCAAUGGGAUUAACAUACUUCUUAUUUCUAUAUCAAUCAUGAAUUAUUUUUCUAUUAGACACCUUUUUUUUUUCAUUUUACGAAAAAAAAAACAUAUGGCUAUAAUAAAAAACACCGUCAUUUUCAAUGGGAUUAACAUACUUCUUAUUUCUAUAUCAAUCAUGAAUUAUUUUUCUAUUAGACACCCUUUUUUUUUCAUUUUACAGAAAAUAACAUAUAGCUAUAAUAAAAAACACAGUCUCGUAUGUGUGUGUGUGUACUUAUGUAUGUAUGUGUGUGUGUGUGUAUAUAUAUAUACACACACAUACAAGUAUGUAUAUGUAUACAUAUACUUUUAAACAUAAUUUAUUUACAAAGAAUGUUUGUAAAAUAGAUCCACACAUGAUAUUUAUAGGAAUCUAAUUUAAAGAAAACGUAAACAUUUCAUAAUCAAUUAAAGAUAUUAAAUCACCGACUUCUCCAUGACAUGUUGCAUCUCUAUCUAACAUCAUCCACGCCCCCCAAGCAAGUCAAAUAAAUCCGUAGAUAGGGAAUUAACCCAUGAGUUUGAAACUCAAUAGAUGUCAUUUGUGCAUUUCGUUAUCAAACUAGAAAUUUCGUACUAUUGAUUCAUACCGUUGUACGUAGAUGGAUUUCCGGCAAAAUUCGAUAUCUAUAGCAUUAUCAUAACACGUAGAGCCGGAGAAUAAUCAUUCAAACUAUUGUAGUGCCGAAACAUCGUACCCGAAGGUACCAUUUCAUUCAAACAUUUACCAAAAAUCAUAAUUUGAAACGAAGUAAACAUUUGCACCUCUACCUACCUUGAAUUUUCUUGGAUAUCAAAGAACAAAUCUAGAUUCAAAGUUCGGUAUUCCAAAUACAAUUUACCCUUCUGUUUAUCACAAACAAUGUUAGGAAUCUGCGGCAAUCCAGUUCUAACCACAUGUAAUAUUGUUUGUUGGAAAUACUUGACAUCAGUAUGGUCUAUUUCUCUAGGACACCCUAGUGGUUAAGAUAGUUUAUAUGGUAAAACCAUGCUUAUUCGAGUAGGGUUUAAGUUAUUGUAUCUCAUGUAUCAUGACUAUGCCCCCGUUUGGCCCUCAUUACGUGAAAAAUUAAUGGGUGGAAUAGUAUUUUUUUUGAAAAAUGAGUGGUUAAAAAAGAAGGAAAAAUUUUCGAUUUACGCGUAAUAUUAUUUUAUGGAAGAUUGUGUGAUUGAAAAUAGGAAAGAGAAAAAUGAAAUGUAAUGUAAUGUAAAUUAAUGGGGCUCAAACAGGUGCUAUAUAUAGAUAUUGGAAAAAAAUGCCUACAGGAAAUUACUGCCUCUUGAUCACAAUCACACUAUCCUUGAUAGACAGAAGUCCGAUGGUGGUGCAAUAUUUGUCAUUGUAGGGCAGUUCAAUGAAAGAUGUGUUCCACGGGUCACUUUUUAGAAGAAUCGAUUAGUAUGAACAAGAUCCCACUUAUAAGUGUCGUGCGGGCUUGAUCUCAUCACAAUUUCGCUACUUGUACAGAAACUGUACAUAUUUGUCGAUGGAAUAUGAGAUGACAGUUUUUUGAUCCUUUAUUUGAAUGAAUGAUUGAGGGCCAAAAAUUGCCGCCUCAUUUCUGUCAACAAAUAUGUACAAAAAUUCUGUACAUGUAGCAAUUUUUGUCUCAUCAAACAUCUACCCAUAUAUAUCUUAGUUAUUUGCGUGCACUUAUUGCAACGACUACUGCAGUCAAGCCAAUCAAACCUACCUCCCUCCCUCCGGGCAGUAGAAUGGAAGUUAAAGAAGAUAACAUUCAAUGCCUUUAUGACAUCAAAUUUUACACACAACUAUAGAAAUUGUAUUUUAAGCAUCUUACAUCUAUGUCAGGAGAAAUUACAUGCAUAGAAAAUGCACGAUUAGAGAAACUAAAAACAGAUCAAAAUUCAAAUUAUACGGGGGGCAAUGACAGGUAUAGACCUCCAUAUAACUAGACUAUUUAGCAACUUGUUCAACGACAGGUGAUUUAUUCCAAGCUUCCUCUAAUCCACCAAGCUGCAAUGGUGGCAACGAAAACAUGCUAACAGUUGAGCUUCCACUACGAAUCUCUUUCAAAGCUCGUAAAGCAGAUAUAGUACUUUUCAUAUACAGGCUCUCCAUGAACUCGAUCUCAGCAAGUUCUUUUGGGCCUUUUAGCAGAACUUCAUUGUUGGUUGUGGAACUGGUUGAGGGUUCGUCUCCAUCAGCUGCCUCAGUUUCAGGUGGUGUUUUGUUCACUGGAAACAGGCGGUCGAGCAUUGUCUCACACUCUUUCACAAGCUUGUACAGUAAGUCAGUUGUAAAAAAAGGCUGUUGCACAACCUUCUGUAUGAAUGGCAGGCGAAGCAGAGCACCAGUUCUUUUGUCAUACUUCUUCAAUAUUUUGGCCAGUCCUGUUAAGCACAAAGUGAUAAAGACUAAAUCUUAAUAUUGUUUCAUGUGGACCAUAGUCUAAGACAUUGUAAGUAAAAAUUUAUAAAUAAUAAUUUUAAGGGCAUUAUAUGAACCAACUUCUCCAGCAAAAGGCUGGUAUAAGCCUUAUUUAUUAUCGACAGACUUCUCUAUAACACAUCGAGAUGUAAAUGAUUAGGACUGUGUUGGCUAUGAACAAAUUCUAUUAAUCUUACUUUUAUCCAUCUAGAUUACAGUAUUGAUGCCACAAGGGAUAAUUCAAUGAAUUUUUCAGACAAGACGUAUCUAAAACAGAGGAAAGCAUGAUAUGGAAGUUUUGAUUUGUUGAUAUUCUCACUCAAUAAUUAUAUAGCAGGAAUUCAACAGUCAAGAAAUUCAUAGUUCUAAAGCUGUCAUAAUGUGAAGGCAAAAAACAGAAGUAAUUAGAUUACAGAGUUAACUAGAAAAAUGUAAAAGC
RNAcentral lists this long non-coding RNA (24845 nucleotides) under Olea europaea (common olive). Its description in RNAcentral is "long non-coding RNA (OEUR_LNC000666)". The record is from RNAcentral. Lineage: Eukaryota; Viridiplantae; Streptophyta; Magnoliopsida; Lamiales; Oleaceae.